RNAcentral lists this long non-coding RNA (946 nucleotides) under Ananas comosus (pineapple). RNAcentral describes it as "long non-coding RNA (ACOM_LNC039793)". The record is from RNAcentral. Lineage: Eukaryota; Viridiplantae; Streptophyta; Magnoliopsida; Poales; Bromeliaceae.
GAAAAUCAAGUUCACAUACGAAUCCAAAUCCGAGUCACGUUCGCCUACAAACCUAUAUCAAAUCAAACCCAAACCUAACCCAAACCAAGUCCACAUAAGAACCCAAACCAAAUCUACAAAUAAACCCAAACCAAUCCAAACCAAGUCCACAAAAUAAACCCACAAAUAAACCCAAACCCAAAACCCAAAUAAACCUAAACCCAAAACCCAAAUAAACCCAAACUUGAACCCAAAUAAAUCCAAACCUAAACCAAGUCCACACAUAAAACCAAAACCCAAACCCAAAUCAAAUUCAAACCCAACCUGAACCAAAACCAAAUCUCAUGGACCAAAUUCCAUGAACCAAAGCCAAACCUCAUAGACCAAAUCCCAUGAACCAAAACCAAACCUCAUGGACCAAAUCCCAUGAACCAUAACCAAAUCUCAUGGACCAAAUCCCAUGAACCAAAACCAAAUUCAUGGACCAAAUCCUAUGAACCAUAACCAAACCUCAUGGACCAAAUCCCAUGAGCCACAACUAAACCUCAUGGACCAUAUCCCAUGAACCAAAAUCAAACCUCAUGGACCAAAUCUCAUGAACCAAAACCAAAUCUCAUGGACCAAAUCCCAUGAACCAAAACUAAACCUCAUGGACCAAAUCCCAUGAGCCACAACCAAACCUCAUGGACCAAAUCCCAUGAACCACAACUAAACCUCAUGGACCAAAUCUCAUGAACCAAAACCAAGUUCAUGGACCAAAUCUCAUGAAUCAAAACCAAACCUCAUAGACCAAAUCCCAUGAGUCAAAACCAAAUCUCAUGGACCAAAUCCUAUGAGCCAAAACCAAGUUCAUGGACCAAAUCCUAUGAGCCAAAACCAAGUUCAUGGACCAAAUCCUAUGAGCCAAAACCAAGUUCAUGGACCAAAUCCCACGAACCAAAACCAAAUCUCAUGGACCAAAUCCAAU